Molecule: ribosomal RNA, 460 nt
Filed under: uncultured bacterium
Lineage: Bacteria
Description: partial 16S ribosomal RNA
Rfam family: Bacterial small subunit ribosomal RNA
Source: RNAcentral
CCUACGGGUGGCAGCAGUGAGGAAUAUUGGUCAAUGGGCGCUAGCCUGAACCAGCCAAGUAGCGUGAAGGAUGACUGCCCUAUGGGUUGUAAACUUCUUUUAUAUGGGAAUAAAGUGCAGUAUGUAUACUGCUUUGCAUGUACCUUAUGAAUAAGGAUCGGCUAACUCCGUGCCAGCAGCCGCGGUAAUACGGAGGAUCCGAGCGUUAUCCGGAUUUAUUGGGUUUAAAGGGAGCGUAGGCGGGUUGUUAAGUCAGUUGUGAAAGUUUGCGGCUCAACCGUAAAAUUGCAGUUGAUACUGGCAUCCUUGAGUACAGUAGAGGUAGGCGGAAUUCGUGGUGUAGCGGUGAAAUGCUUAGAUAUCACGAAGAACUCCGAUUGCGAAGGCAGCUUGCUGCAGCGGAACUGACGCUGAUGCUCGAAAGCGCGGGUAUCGAACAGGAUUAGAUACGCUUGUAGUC